This 2739-nucleotide long non-coding RNA is filed under the name Bemisia tabaci. Its description in RNAcentral is "lncRNA ENSASIAIIG012464". The record is from RNAcentral. Lineage: Eukaryota; Metazoa; Arthropoda; Insecta; Hemiptera; Aleyrodidae.
CCUUUGGAGCAACUGUGGCGCGGCAAUAUCCUUCUCCACACUAGUUCGCACUCGAACGGUUCUGCGAAGCGGCACACCAGGCGGUUGGGCCGCGUAGCGGCCAGGGGCGUAGCCCCCUAGUAACAGCUGAGCGCUUCUCCAAUACGAACGAUUUUGAGCUUUCAUUCAUGCAGUUCCAUGUCAUUCAUGGUUUGUUUCAUUCAUGCAGUUCUCCGAGGGUAAUUUUAUAUCGGUUUCAAUUCUAUUUUUGGCGCUCCUGCUAUUGUGAGUGGCGGUAGCCACAUCCGGGCUAGUCGCCUAUCCUCCAACAAUGGGCAACACAGCACAGCCCGUCUGAGAUAACUACACUUAUCAUUUAUUACGUAGAGGUCGUGCGAUCAAUGCUUGGAGCCGAGUUAGUGAGCUCUCGAGUAUCAGCACGGGUGACAUCUUUGGCCGGUCUUGCUCCUGUUUUAAUCACCUUCACAUCACAAUGCUCUUCUUAUACAUGCUUUUCAUAUCUCAGGUUUGAGUGCCGCCUGUUGGGGGGAGGAGAUGGCCCUGUUCGUGUUGAACGCGGACGCAGUUACAAGUCAACCAGGGCAUGGGUCCGCGCAGACCCGCUUCAAGCGACAGUCAACCAUCUCCUAUCAGGUCAACCAUUUCGCCGUGCAGGACCAGGAGCCUCAUGAGGCCCGAGGCGCAAACCCCACGGUCGCCCCUCGACCGGGGUACGGGGCCAGAGGGGCCCGACAACUCAGCCCCAAAUUCCCCACCACCCUCCUCCAAACACAACAGCGAGCACCCGCUGACUACCUGGAUUACGGUGCUCAACAAUAUUCAUCUGGUCCUGACGCGCUACAACAACAAUAUUUUGGGAGCCUAGCCCAAUUCGCAGCUGAACAGCAAGGCGGCGUGCCAGCCGAAGAACCAGCCCAGCCGCAGCCACCAACGACAACCCUCUCGCCGGAGACACAAGAGAUGAUCCGGGCACAGCAGGAGUACAAGGACCGGCACAUCAAGGAGCAAGAGCGACUGGCCCUCGGGGUGCGCCGCCCGGCGACGGGCCCCGCGCCCGGAGGCCAGGCCCCGGCGGGGCCCUUCGACGACGGGCCCAACCCGACGAUCCAGUUCGUCUCGGCCGGAGGGGCGCCCCUCGUCCAGCCGCAGCAGCAGUUCGCCCAAUACGACUACGCUCAGGACGCCACCGGGAGCGACGCCCAGUACUACCCGGCCCCCGCCCCCGCACCGGGCCCGGGCAGGCCGCUCUUCACCAGUGCUGAGAAUUCCGGCAAGUCGACUUUUACCAAGAGGUUAGUGCCGAAGAACUUCCAGCCGGGCAAGUCACUGCUCGACCCGACGCAGAGCUUCUCGUACACGCAGCUCCAGUUCGGCGACAACUCGCCCAACGAGAAAUACUACUCGAAACUGCACGACCUCAGGCAGAAACUAGUCCCACAAGCAGAGCAGCACGUAGCACAGCGCUCCGCUCCCAAACAGCGCCCGAAGUACGAACCAACCUACGUCUACGACACUGCCGCCUACCAGAUCGAAUCCUCCACACCCAACUCCCUCCCGCACUACGUUGCCUCCACCCCGAAGGCCCACUACGUCAGCCAGUACUACCACCCCACGGCGACGGCACGACCCAGCCUCGUCUACACCCAGUCCUCCGGGGACAGCGGGCUCGUUCACCCUAAGGCCGAAUCCUCGACCGCAAAACCCGUCUUGCGACCCCAAUACAUAGCCACCACCCCCGAUUACUACUACGAAUCCACCCCCGCCCCUCAAUACGAGACCCCUAAACACCAGAAAAAGCUCCAGAAACUGAUUGCGCCUGAUUUUGUGACAGCCGCUGGUGAGCAGCAACUACGGCAGCUGCAGCGGUUACAACAGCUCCAACAAGCCCAACAACAACAGAAUUACGAGGCGCAAGGGAUCGAAUUCGACCAGGACCUCCAGCUCUACUCGCAGCCGACCAAAGGCUUCUACGCCAAUAUCAAGAAAGCGGCUGUUCACACACCCAGCCCGAGUCCUGCUUACGCGACGGCAAGUCCCAGUUACGCCACCGCUCCCAGCAAGUCAGCCUACUUCGUUUCAACCGCCGCACCCCACACGGUCCGCGAGAGCAACCACGAGGACUACGGAAACAACGAGUUGAGCGAACUCUCCGUCCAAACUCCGGACGGUCGCAAGCCGCUCACCCCGGCCGAAAUCAAAGCCCUCGUCAGCGCCGGUUUCCACAUCCCCGAACUGAAACACCAAGACCCGAGCGUGGCGGUUCAACCGGUUCGCCGGCCGGUCUACAGCUACCAACCGGUUCAGGGGCACCCCACGCGCGCCCCGGUCACGGAAACCCCCGACUACGUCACGCGCGUGAGCCCCACCUACACGCCGACGUAUACACCGGUGUAUUCGACGGCCUCGCCCUACGACGACGCGGACUCAAACCAGAGGGCCACCGAACAGAGGUACCGCUCGACGGUGUCGCACCUGACCGGGAGGAAGAGGGUGACCGUGGCGGCGACGCCAGCGCCUCUAUCGGCCGAGGAGGAGAAACUCGGGCUGCCGCGAGAUGGAGUCCGGCAUUAUUAUAGGGUGGACGCCAGUGACAGCGGGACUGCGCCUCAAGCCUACGUCCUCGUUGGGGGGCAUGUUCGGGCUCCCGUUCAAGGUCCAGCGAGAGGGUUGGGUCAGUAUUCGAGCCUCCUAGUGUCCAGGAGUGCUGAUCAAGGCAAGAAAACGGAGAAAGCUCCCUGA